RNAcentral lists this ribosomal RNA (228 nucleotides) under uncultured bacterium. RNAcentral's name for it is "partial 16S ribosomal RNA". It matches the Rfam family "Bacterial small subunit ribosomal RNA", at positions 568 to 795 of the family's 1533-position model. The record is from RNAcentral.
UGCGUAGGCGGAUAGAUUAGUCAGAGGUGAAAUCCUGCAGCUUAACUGUAGAAUUGCCUUUGAUACUGUUUAUCUUGAAUUAGGUUGAGGUCAGCGGAAUGUGGCAUGUAGCGGUGAAAUGCAUAGAUAUGCCAUAGAACACCAAUUGCGAAGGCAGCUGGCUAGGCUUUAAUUGACGCUGAGGCACGAAAGCGUGGGGAGCGAACAGGAUUAGAUACCCUGGUAGUC